CCUACGGGUGGCAGCAGUAGGGAAUUUUGCGCAAUGGGCGAAAGCCUGACGCAGCAACACCGCGUGAAUGUUAAGCCCUUCGGGGUGUAAAGUUCUGUCAAUAGGGACGAAUUUUGACUGUACCUAUAAAGGAAGCACCGGCUAACUCCGUGCCAGCAGCCGCGGUAAUACGGGGGGUGCAAGCGUUGUCCGGAAUCAUUGGGCGUAAAGCGUUCGUAGGCGGCAAGGUAAGUCUGAUGUUAAAGCCCGGGGCUCAACUCCGGUUCGGCAUUGGAUACUAUCUAGCUAGAAUGUGGUAGAGGUAAAGGGAAUUCCUGGUGUAGCGGUGAAAUGCAUAGAUAUCACGCAGAACUCCGAUUGCGAAGGCAGCAUACCGGCGCCCAACUGACGCUGAAGCACGAAAGCGUGGGUAUCGAACAGGAUUAGAUACCCCGGUAGUC
RNAcentral lists this ribosomal RNA (440 nucleotides) under uncultured bacterium. RNAcentral's name for it is "partial 16S ribosomal RNA". It matches the Rfam family "Bacterial small subunit ribosomal RNA", at positions 338 to 795 of the family's 1533-position model. The record is from RNAcentral.